This 392-nucleotide ribosomal RNA is filed under the name Porphyromonas sp. RNAcentral's name for it is "bacterial SSU rRNA". It matches the Rfam family "Bacterial small subunit ribosomal RNA", at positions 1138 to 1533 of the family's 1533-position model. Lineage: Bacteria; Pseudomonadati; Bacteroidota; Bacteroidia; Bacteroidales; Porphyromonadaceae. The record is from RNAcentral.
CUCCGUAGAGACUGCCGUCGUAAGGCGAGAGGAAGGUGGGGAUGACGUCAAAUCAGCACGGCCCUUACAUCCGGGGCGACACACGUGUUACAAUGGUAAGGACAAAGGGCAGCUACCUGGCGACAGGAUGCGAAUCUCUAAACCUUAUCACAGUUCGGAUCGGAGUCUGCAACUCGACUCCGUGAAGCUGGAUUCGCUAGUAAUCGCGCAUCAGCCAUGGCGCGGUGAAUACGUUCCCGGGCCUUGUACACACCGCCCGUCAAGCCAUGGGAGUCUGGAGUACCUAAAGUCCGUAACCGCAAGGGUCGGCCUAGGGUAAUACAGGUGACUGGGGCUAAGUCGUAACAAGGUAGCCGUACCGGAAGGUGCGGCUGGAACACCUCCUUUCUGGA